Molecule: ribosomal RNA, 434 nt
Filed under: uncultured bacterium
Lineage: Bacteria
Description: partial 16S ribosomal RNA
Rfam family: Bacterial small subunit ribosomal RNA
Source: RNAcentral
AACGAACGCUGGCGGCAUGCUUAACACAUGCAAGUCGAACGCAUGCCUUCGGGCAUGAGUGGCAGACGGGUGAGUAACGCGUGGGAACCUACCCCGUUUUACGGUAUAUCUCCGGGAAACUUGAGAUAAUACCGUAUGUUUCCUGAGGGAAAAAGAUUCAGCGCCAAGGUAUGGGCCCGCUUCGGAUUAGCGAGUGGGGGGGGUAAAGGCCUACCAAGGCGACGAUCCGUAGCUGGUCUAAGAGGAUGAUAAGCCACAUUGGGACUGAGACACGGCCCAAACUCCUACGGGAGGAAGAAGUGGGGAAUAUUGGAAAAGGGGCGAAAGCCUGACCAAGACAGGCCGGGUGAGUGAUGAAGGCCCUAGGGUGGUAAAGCUCUUUCACCGGUGAGGAUAAGGCAGGUACCCGGAGAAGAAGCCCCGGCUACCUCCGU